ACCUGGUCCGGGUGCGCAGCGUGCCCGGAUCACCAGACAGGCACAGAUCUCGGGGAAGAACCGGGGCAUGUUGGGGUGUU
This is a non-coding RNA of Streptomyces sp. NRRL F-6602, 80 nucleotides long. NCBI's taxonomy places the organism in Bacteria, Bacillati, Actinomycetota, Actinomycetes, Kitasatosporales, Streptomycetaceae. The record is from Rfam.